Sapajus apella (tufted capuchin) is the source of this 20596-nucleotide long non-coding RNA. RefSeq lists it as uncharacterized. The record is from RefSeq and is a predicted model, not a curated record. Lineage: Eukaryota; Metazoa; Chordata; Mammalia; Primates; Cebidae. The transcript is spliced from 2 exons.
UUCACCAUGUUGACCGGGAUGGUCUCGAUCUCUUGACCUCGUGAUCCACCCGCCUCGGCCUCCCUAAGUGCUGGGAUUACAGGCUUGAGCCACCGCGGCCGGCCUUGAGCACUUUUUAUGUCCAGGAAUACCAAGAUAAUUAGCACACAGUACCCGAGUUAUGAAUGGUCUCAGUAUGAAUCAUAUUCAUGCUUCAGAACUGAGCUCAACCCUUCAAGUCCAAAGGGAAAUCUUCUCUCAUUGGUCCUACUAUUAGGGAAUAGCACUGUCCUGUAUACUAACUGAUCUCUUUCUAAAAUUGCACAUUAUAAUUAGUUGUUUAGAGCUUUAUCUCCCUUCUAGGCUCUGAGCUUGCAAGACAGGGACUAUGUCCUAUCCACAUAUUUCAGAUGCCAAGCUUAGUGCCUGAUUGAAGUAGUCCUUCAGUCAAUAUUUGUAGAUUUUAAUUUACUGCAAUAUGCCUGAAAAGUCUUUGGGUUGUAGAUUCUUCAUCUAUUCUCUGACUUAAAGUUUUCAUCAGUCGAAUAUUUGCUAUACUAUUUAUCAUGCUAUUUGCCAUGUAUAGUAAAAAUUACACUCUGAUAUAAUUACAUUUCUUGCUUAGAUUAGGUAGACUUAUUUGAGAAAUGCUGAACCAAUUAUAGGUAUUUUGAAAGGAAAAUCAUAGUGCAAAUAUGUAUUUUCCAGGGUCUGAUAAUCUAAUCUGUAGAUCGUUUUGUAUGUUCAGCGACUCCCCCAAUAUCUCUCUCUAAAAAUAUCAUGGUAUCUUGAGUGUCAGUAACCCUUCGACUUCUUUUUCUUCAGAUAUUCACAGGCAUGCAGUCCCUCAGAUUUCAUCGUUUCUCACAACAACAGCCCCAUACGACCAGCAACUCAGAAACCCUGAUCUGUCACGACAACCUCCCAUUCUUUCUUGUACCUUCUCCAUUUCCUCCACCUUUCUGAAACAAGAGCCUGUUUCCAUCAGAUGUCUUCAUGCUCUGGAUUCCCUGUUAUGCUUCCGCUUGUGCUUAGUGAUCCCUUUCUAGCUUUCUGGUCUUUAUUUGACUGCCUAUGUUAUUCCUCCUGAACAAGGCUCUUCACUUUUUUUUUUUUUUCCCAACCCUUCUCGGCUAUGUAUUCUAAACCCUUGCUCUUUGUAAGUAACAUCUUUUAUUUUGCCGCAAGGGCUUCCACAGCUUCCUCCCAUUCCUAACAGGGAAACUCCACCUUCUUUCCUAACCUGGUCUUCUCUAAUCCCUUUCAUCUGUCCUUCUGACCUCCACACUAGUCUUUGAUUUUCAGUCUUCCUUUCUACCAAUCUAUUUAUUUCUGCACAAAAGCAUAUUAAAUUAUCCCCUACCUUCUUAAUAUUUUCCUCUAAAGGUUUUUUCUCUUCCUUCAGCUCAUGGCCUAGAGCUGAAAAGUUCCUGCCAGGUUAGGGUCAUAGUUAAUGGACUCAACAGUAAUCAACAAGUUACUUGAAUUUGCUAGUCUGUCUAGCAGCCUGAUUUGCAAACAUUUUUUAUUACAAGAAUACUUUGACCAUUUAAUAUUAAUAGAAACUUCAGAACUAGCCAGUUUAAUAUUUUCAGCUUUCACGAUUACUUCAGUCUGCCUGAUCUUUCCUUCUUAAAAUUUUUUAGGCACCUGUGUCAUUCAUUUUUGCAGCUAUCUUGUUAAUUCACAAAAUUAACAAACCAAAAGUUCUUUAGAGACCUAUUUGUUCUGACACAAAAAUCACUUUACAUAUUCUUUACUGCAAUUGACAGCCCUGACAAAUGGUUAUGUUUCUCUCAUGUAGUUGCUACAUUUACCUUAGUAUUACUCCACAUUUUCACCCUGGUUUGCCCACGUAUCUAAGUUCAGUCAGGGUGGACUAUUUUUGUCUUGCCUUACCCAAGAUUAUACACCUAACUUGUUUCCUCGUACUGAUUAAGUGCUCUUUCUAGACCAGAUCCCUAGAUUACCUGCCUAUUUUUCCCAAGAAGACUGCACAUUCUACCAUGGCUGGAACUUGUCUUCAACCAAGCCUCUUACUGUCUCUAUAUUUCCCAGAUUACUGCUGAAUCUGGGGGUCAACAUUUACUAAUUCAUGUCAUGAUAUUUAUAAAAUAUCUAAAAAGAAAGUCUGUUAAAAUAAAUGUUUGUAUAUUCUUUAUGGUGAAAUAUUAUUAUGACAUUGAAAGUCAGGCCUUCAAAGAAUAAUUAAUGACACAAAAUAGCUUAUGAGAUUUAUUAGAAGGCCUAAAGUACUAAUAACAUGAAAGUUGUUUUUUUUUUUUUUUUUUAAAUAAUUAAGUCCUUCAGAUUGGGAAGAAAAUAUAGGAACCCAUAAGCAGUCUCAGCUUUUGGUUACCCUAUCUUUACCCCUUUCUCUCUGAUGAACUUUUUCAUUUAAUACAUCUCUGCCACUUUAAUUUUUUAAAGAUCUCCUCUACACAAAGCACCUUUAUAUUUCCCUUCUAGUUACCAUUAGAUGUCUGUUUUUAAGUGAUUAGUAUCCUGUGAAUGUUAAGGAGCUGUGCUUUCUACAUGCUGGUUUACUGGAAACUGAAAACUAGAGUUAUCAAGUAACUAUCUGGCAUUGCUCUCUCAUUUUCUAUUUUUCUAUUUUUAUAUAAUUUUUUUAUAUUUUUCUGGUCAAUGUAGUGGAAAUUGUUGGCACAAAAUAAGUAAAUACACUGGAGACUUUCUGUAAUGUAAUACAGAUUUUAUGCUGUGGAAGCAUCGUGUUUUGUGACACUAAGUGCUCAGUACAUAUUAGUUGUUAUUAUAACUAAUUUCCUAUUAUAAAGGGAUGCACAAUAAUCUUAUAGUUAUGUAAAAAGAGGGAUGUAUUAACUUUUUUCGCCUGAAUUGCUCAGCUUGCAAUUUAUUAUAGAGUUUAGUAAAUAGCUUUGAGUUUUGCUUUCUUUGAAAGGUAGCAUCAGUCUUUUGUGGUGCCUACUUAAGUUGCUUUGCUCUGCAGCAAUUGCUUUUUAAUGCUAAAAUCAGAGAUAACGUAAGCAAGAAGGAGAGCAGGCUAAUUUAAAAUUCUCCAUUUGGGUUAUAUGAACAAGUAAUUGAUUAUGCUUUGAUCUUUCUGGUUUUACCUGUCCGUUGAAAUCUAAGGUGGCUGGAAACAAAAUUGUCCUCAUUUCCUGGUAAUGGAUUAGAAAGGUUCUAAUUUGGGGUGCCUUAAACAGAUUCUGACACUUUGAGAAUGGGUAACAGUGACCGUUUGAUUUUUAUUUAGAGGGAACAGUUUAUCUCAACCCUACUAGCUGAAAGGAGAUAAUGUCAGCUGAAGUAAAAUACCAGAAUGGCUUCUUUUUAUUACUGCUCAAUUUUCCUGAGCAUUUGGGGAGGUAAAUAUCUCUACAUCUAUUAACUGUACUUUUUAAAAGUUGACUUUUCUCCUCAGGACAAUUUUCAAGUGGAGGUAGAAUUGGCUGGUGAAAGAGACCUUUACCUCACAGUUUCAGUUUUAUUAUAAAUUGCCCAUUAGUGCAUUAGAAAUGAAGUGAAGGAGUGAGUAGAAUUAUAACUAUUCUUUUAUUCUUUUUGUUCUAAUCCUGCCACUGAAUUUUUCUUUUCUUUUUUUUUUAAUAUAUGAACUCGUAUGAAAGAUGUUGAAGAAAUUGAAUACAUUAUUGGUUAAGUUGUCAGGAAUAGAAUGAUCUUCAAAUAUUCAUUUUUCUGAUAUCAAAACUGAACAAAGCCUCACACAUAUUUGGAGUUAAACUGUUUCACCUUGUACAUUGAAUAUAAUCUUGCACAUCUAAAAAAUAGCUGGUAAUGUACUCAUCUAAACGAUGUCAUCCUUUUGUGAAGCACAUAUUUUCUUGAGAGAUUAGAGCUUAGAGAAUAAAAAUUAAGUGACUACUAAAACUUAAUAGGAAGGCGGAGUCAGAAUGAAAAAAAUGGCUGAGGGCUGAAGUCUUUGUUUAUGUCAGCUUACAUAAUCAACACCUUCUCUUUAUCAAAUUAUUGAACACGUGAGUAAUAACAAUUUUAUGAUGAAAUGUGAUAUCUUCUAGAGAGCUUGUAUAUAAAUUGCACAGUCUUAUGUUCCCAAAGGAUGCUGGACCCUUGAAAGAAACACAGGAUUAUACACAUUUUAGAGAGUGGCUAAGUAGCUGGAAAAAUUUAUAAAAGGAAGCUCACAUCAGUGUAUCUCUCCUAGAAAUUAAACCAUUUGGAUUCUCGUUACUAAAAAUUCUUUGGUAGGAGACCAAGUUUGAGUUAUUGUUCAAAAUUGGGCUACUGGCAGUGUUUCAAGGGUCAAUUCUGUAAUUAAUCCUUAUGUGACUAUCUAAUUUAUUGCUAGUAGAAACAAAUAGUCUGGUUCUUUGACACAUAAUUUAAGGCAGAACAGUCUGGGGCUUCCUUUUCUAAUGUAAUAGAACUAAUGUUUUGUCUUUAGCACAGAGUUUAUUGCCACUUCCUAUGUAAGGCAUGAAUUUGUGAUUUUUAACUAUGAUUUUGUUAUUUUAAAAUUUCCACUACUUAGGUAUUCUUUCUCUCUCUCUUCUCUUGCUCUCUCAGAAUUAAGUCCCUUUCUAAUGUUUUUAUUUUUGUCCAAAUUAUAGAUGUAUUAUAUUGUUGGGGAAAAAAAGAAAGAAAGAACAGAUUUGGGAUGCUAAAAGAUAAUAAUAAUACUUGUGUUUUUUUUUUUUUUAAAUGUGUUACCUACCGGUUCAAAUAUGUUCAGGUUUUCGAAAACUAGACCCAAGUUGAGUCAAUUCUAGUAUUACCAGCAUUACCGUAGUUUGAAUAGAUGACCCAGAUCAUUCUUUUCUUUUUUAUUUUACCUUUUUUGAGAUGGAGUCCCACUCUGUCACCUGGAGUGCAGUGGAGUGAUUUUAGCUCACUGCAACCUCCACCUCCUGGGUUCAAGAGAUUCUCCUGCCUCAGACUCUAGUUGCUGGGAUUACAGGCAUGCACUGCCAUCCCUGAAUAAUCUUUGUAUUUUUAGUAGAAAUGGGUUUUACCAUGUUAGCCAGGCUGGUCUUGAGACCUAGAACAUUCUUAAGCAUUUUACAUGUUUUCAUAUUAGCCUAAUUUAUCUUGAUGUUGAGUUCUUCCCUUCUUCUCACAGUGUAAAAUAUUUGCAAAUAAUUUAUUGCUCAACAUUAUUUUUCAGCCUGUACUCUGCCAGUGGUAUCACUACCAUUUUAGGUGAAAGAUUUGCUUAACACACCAUCAUUGUUGUUUUUAAAAUUAUUUUCAUUGGUCAUACCAAACAAGUGAAAUCCUGUGUAGAUUUCUACUACUUUCAACUCCUCCACAUUUCAGCACUCUUUUUUAGAAAUUUUUGUGAUGUUGGAAAUUUCCUAUAAUAUGCACUGUCCAAGUAUGACACCAAAAUCCAGAGAAUAUGUGCUUUGCAUCAGAGUUUUAGAAAUAGCUUUGAAGACAAUAUAAAAAAAUAAGUAUUGCUGUUCCAUUAUCUUUUUGCAUUCAGAAGUUUUGAUUCUAACCACUCUCCCACACUACUAAGGUGUUAAUGAAAAUGAACACUAUUGUUUUCAGGAAUCUGUUAAAUAAUCAGAUUGAGAAUAGUUAUUAUCAUUUUACAUAUUAACCCAUAAAAUAUUAAACAUAUUCCUGUUGCUUUUUUCUGCUGCCGGUUCUACCACCACCAUUUUUUUUAGGAUGAAAUAUACACUGGCAUACAUGGUGUUUAUGCAUGUAAUCUCCACAACAAAUGUGGAAUACUGAGUGAGCCUGUUAUAGAUAGAAUAACAGCUUCUUUCCUGGCUUCUCUAUACUAUGGACAAAUUCUUACUUUAUCUGAAUUUAGAAGUACUUGAAAUUGCAUUCAAAUUCAACUUGUAGGGCAUUGAAUGAGUGACAGUUUUCUCUCAUAGGUUUUCUGUAUCUUAUGAGAAAUUUUACUAUACAGUCCCUGUAUGUACAUAGGGAGAACGGAUCUGCUUUCACUAAAGCCAGAAGAUGCCAGAAGAUCUAACUGUAAGAUACUUUAUUUCUGGUAAAAUUGAAAGUUUUUUUGCUUUCCGGAGCUGCCUCUUAUUCAGCCAUCUUGGGAUCCUCCCCCCUUGAAACCUUUUAAGCCUUUUGCCUUUCCCUUUCCUUAACAAUUCUUAUAUAUUUCUGUUAAGAGUAAAGCUUGCACUUAGUGGUAUAUUUUGGAAUAUGUUGGGAUUCUCUGAGAACAAUUUUUCUUUCUCCCUUAAAUUUUGGAUCUGAUCUUGGAAAAACAAAAUCAAAAGGUUUAUCACAGGGGAUUUGCGUGAUUCAAAUAGGAUCAAAGUGCCUAGAAACAAUAGCUUGGCUAAUUGUUCAUUGGAAGGACAAUGCAGAUGUUUAAAUAAACAUGGAAGUAACAUGAUUCCAAUGAACUGUAGAUGUUUCAGAAUCAAGAACACAACAAAGACAACAAAAAACCAAAAACUCAAAGCAUAGAAACUGAUGGUGGUAAACCAAACCUGCUAUCUGAAUUCAUUACAGAAGAUAAAAAAUAACCUUUUACUAAUCUUUGCUGAGAACAGACUAAAUGCUCUAAAACAAUGUAUUAUUUUAACAGUUAUUAAAAAUAUGUCUAAUUUACAUUAACAUAAUAUGUAGUAGCAAAUAAUUUACAUGCUCUUUUUUCUGUGAUUCUAUUUUAUGAGUAAGUCUAUCAACUUGCCAAAAUUUCACACAUGCCAUUAUUUCUUUUCAGGCUCAUUAUUUUCUGGUGUUAUCAAACUAAGUCAGCUCUCAACUCUUACACAACUUGUACACACUCGAGUUUUAUCUUUCACUAUAACUUUUCAUAUUACAAAGCAACCAGACACUUUACUUUGAAAACUUCCUUAAUAAAAAAAAUUCCACUUGACAAACGAAGAACAUAUUCCAUAGCUUGGUUACAUAGUUGAACUUUUCUGCCCCAUUGCUUGUAUAAAGUAUGAAGCACCCGUAUGAGUUAUAACAGAGAGAGCUAAGAGGUUGAUAUUUGAGAUAUGUCUGUCAUUUACAGUCAUUUUCACAGAUAUGCAAAGCUCAUAAAUGCCAUCACACAGUCUCCUACGGUCAUACUCAUUGAUAUUACACUUUCUUAAUGUGGGAAAAGGUACUUAUAUUAUAAGGACUCAAAGAUAUAGCCAUGCUGUAAUUCUAAUAGGUUAGUGAUUAAUUUGUCAAUACCCUAUUUUACUUAGAAAUUCACCAGUUGACUAAAAAUAAUCCAUUAAAUUGACUCAAUUAUGUUUAACCUGACUAACCGCAGCACAUAAUUAUUGUUGAUAUAAAAAAAUUUUGGUUGAAUUCAUAGUUUUAUGUCAUUCUCAAUGCUUUACGUUGUUAGAGAAAUGCUAGCAGUAAACUUUUAUAAGUUUAUAGGUUUAGAUUAAUUAGUCUCUAUGAAGACAUUAAACCAAAUUUUAUUUAAAAAAUAAUCAUAAUCUUGGAUUAUACUUAAUAUUGGUAAAAUCAGGGAAAGAUAUGUAAUGUUUUCAAACAAAAAUUAUCAAAAUUGUCAUAGUAAUUUAAAUAUUUACCUCAAUUACAUAAAACUGGUUUAUAUCCUUCUACAAAAAUGCUCUGAGGUUGCAUCUUCUAUAAAGAUUGUUAUUUUUAAAAUAAAGUAUUAGGACAUUUAAAUUUUGAAAGUUCAGUAAUUUAUUUUUUAUUUUUGGAUUUCUGAGAACAUUAAAUGAAUGUGGUUAUUAAUCUCCCUAAACAAUCAUAACAGAACUCAUUAUUAGAGAUAUUACUGUAUAAUUUAUUAACACAUUGUGGAUAUAGGAAAACAUCUGACAUUACAGUGAGAGAUGAAGUUCUUUCUAAAUUAAAUAAACACAGAAACACAGAGAGCUUUCAGCUUCUACAACCCCAGCCUUGGUUCAAGAGUAAACAAACACAAACACUCACUGCUUUAAAUGUGAAUUUUUUUAUUCUUUUUUUCCAUGGGUAUGAAAUAUGUUCUUGCACACACAAAUCAAUACAAGAAACUAACAAGAUACAAUCUCUGCUGCCUCUCAUCCAAUGGAUACUAGAGAAUCGUAGUUAGAGAUCACCAAAUGGUCAGCAGUAGGAUUCACUAUCAUUGCCAUCACCAACUAGGAAUAACUUAUUUGCUAUGUGCACACCAGAAGAAGAACCAAACAAGUAGGCCAGGAACCAGAAAUAGCAACAAACACAGGAUAAGAAAGAGAAAUAGAGGACUCUUAUGGAAGGUAAAGUUCUCAUAUUAUUAUGUUCUAUUGUUUUGGAUUGACUCAUGCGACCAAAGAAACGUGUGUCUUUGCUUAAAUAUUUCUAGUAGGUAAGUCACUUCUGGGAGGCAUAAGAGUGAAACUUCCAAAACUGUCAAAGAAUAGUUAUGAAAAAGUUUGAAACAUCACACAUGUACAAACAUAGAAUAAACAUAUAUUAAAAUUUUAACUCAUUAACAAGGAAAAUAGUGAGAUAGAAAAACUGCUUUAAAGUAAAAUCACAGGAACGUGACAUUCUGACGUUAAUACUGUCCAAUAAGGUAAUGGAACAUUAACCUUUGAGGUUAUCAUUUCUCUUUGAGAGAAAUUUACUAUGUAACUUCCCAGAGUCUAAAACUUUAAUUAAUAGUAAAUAGCAAAGUCAAACACAAGUAUAUUCCCUUAGAUAAUUAAAUAACCGUUUUGUGAGCCUGUCAUAUAGUCCCCAGUGUAUAUUAAAAGAACAUGCCAUCUACUUUUUAUUUUUUGCCUCGUUUCCAAGUUUUGCAUAAUUUUUUGUAGCAGUGCUAACAGAAAAAUGUUAGAUGUCAACUUAAAAAUAUUCAUGUUAAAAUUAGUUUUUCAAAACCUACAUAAAUAAUAAGUUUGACUACUGAGUAGAUUAUACUUGUCAUUUAGUUCAUCUCCCAGCAGGUUAAAUGGCUUUACCAAGAAUCUAUAGCUAGUUAUAGGGAGAAGAGCGGAAAGAUAAAUGAGGUGAGAUGAGCCUGGAAAAUACCCAGUUCUAUGUUCUCUCUUUUUUCUGUACUUUCAUUGCUCUUUAGUCUAUUUCUUCUGAUCUCUUAGGACAAAAAAUGUAUGUGUGUAUGUACAGAGCAUUCCUGGAACUUAGACCUAAGGAUAAUUGUCUUGAAACUGCUGACAGGAUAAAAACCUCAUAUAAUUAACACUGCCAAUCACAAUCAGGACAUAUAUUAAUGCUGUUUUUGAAAGGCGUUUCCAUCUCGUCUGUUGAUGAAUUUGCAAAACAAUUAUGAUUACAUUGACAGUGAAGAGGUAUGUAUGUGAAUGAGUGCCUAGAAUCUAGGUGUGUAUUUCCCUCUUUGCUGAGUUGAAUAUUUUAGAUGGAAUUUAAUGGGAACUAGAAAUGUCGUGAGUUACUGCCAAAAUGUAGUCAACGAAUUUUACAAAAAGCAUUUCUUUAGAAGCGUAUUUUAGAUUGUUUUGUUUAGUAAUUUAUAUUUUAGAAUUUUGGAAAAACAUUAUGUUCGAUAUGAUUGAGCUUUCUUUUCUUUUGAACUGUCGUAGAACUUUACUCUGUAAUCUUAUGUUUUCAGUAAAUAUAGACUUAAGCAAGACCUUUUUAUUUAUUUUGCUUAGUUUUUAUUUCUUUUCAUAUUGUUAUCAAUGUUGUCUGCACCAUGUGGGACAAAACCUUUUGAAUUUGAGGUUACAGUACAGAAAAUAUUUUUAUGUAUCCUGAAAUUUUUGUCCAAAUAAUUUAGCAGUUUUUUUGUUGGCACCACAUCUAUUGUGUAUUAAAUACAUGGGAAAUAAAACAAAAUAUACAUAAUUUAAAACUCCAGCUCUUAAUUUUUUAAUCCAAUGAUCAUCUAUUGAAAUGGACUUAGAGCCACUAAAUCAAUUAUGUUGAAAGAGAAUCUUUUUAUUAGGUUUUUAUUUAUUCCAACCCCUUAACUGGGACAUGAUUUCUAAAGGAAACAUAUUUCAAAUUGACAUAGUGGAUUUCAAAAUUAAUUAAAAAUUAAUUUUAAAGGAUUACUACAUUGAGCACUUAUGCUGGUAAAUCCUUCCGGAUAAUUUUGUUAAGAAGUUAUGCUCAUCUGAAGGAUGUGUUUCUAUUUAGUUUUGCACAAUGUAUGCCUUUAUAACUAAAAUGUCAUUUUUUAAAUGACACAUUUGCUUUUUCGUUUUUUUUCUCUUGUCCAAUUUACUGUCCAUGAAAAUACUACUUAGAGUUAAUAAGAACAAUAAAAAUAGCAGACAAAACAGUUCUAAAAUAUUACCUUUAAAAAUAAUACAUUAAAGAAAUUUUAAUGGAAUUUUCAUCACAGGACUUUGCUGGACAUGUGUAACUACUGCACAUGUGUUAAAGAGGUCCUUUAGGAAAAUGCAUUGGAAAGUGUUUCAUAAUAGCACGUAAGAUGGAUAACCUUGACCAACAUACUUUACACGUGACUGUUUAUGAACAUUUGAUUUGCUGAUGUGGUGUGAGAAGAAGUUUAAAUUUGUGACAGUUUAGUUUGAUGUUGGCAAAAAGCACUGCAGAGAAAGUAACACCUUUACUCUUCUAACCUCUUUUUUUAAGAUGAUCGAAGCUAUGCCUUCAGAGUUUCUUUAACUCUAAUAAAUAUAUCCAUUGUUCCUAAUAAUUUUCUCCAUUUACACUAACAUCUAUAAGGGUUGAUCCAGGUUUUGUGUAGCUGAAAGCUUGUCAAAUUUGGAAGCUCCACUCUAGGAAAAAUAAUUCAUAAUUUUGGAUAUACCAUUUGGCCAAAAAUUAAAAUUUGUAUAGAAUGAGAAAAUAAGUCACAGUAAAUUAUGGAAUUUAAAACUUUAACAAAUACCAUCAUGAAAAUCCAGAAAAAUAGCAUAUGUGUUUAUUAUCUUUCUGAUAUCUCUAUAAUCUUUUUCUCUCACAUUUUUAUAGUUUUGUUCUUUGAUCACCUAAUCAUAUGUUGAGACUUUUGUAAUAGUUUCUAGAAGGAGAAUAGUUUCUGUUUUAGCCUGCAAUAACAAAACAUGUAUUUUUUAUUUUUGAUAUUACAGGAUAGUUUCCUUUAGCUUUACAACUCAUUAUUGGUGUGUGAUUUAAAUUUAUAGUAUUGCCAUUCAAUAUGGAAGCACUUCCCAUCAGAUUUCUUUCAUAUAUAACUAUAAGGUUUGAUAUAUUUUCUGUAGGCUAACUUACGGAUCUGUGCAUUUUAAACCUUGUUGCUUUUCUAUUACCAAGAAUUGUGUAUUGCUGGGCACUGUUGGAAAGUUUCUUCUUGGGAUAUGACCUCUGGCCAUUCAUUUUCCUGUCCUCACACCUGGUGGAUAUUUGGAAGCUUUUCCUACACCAGAGUGGCUUGCUGAAUGAUUCUUUUGGAUCCAGUUUUAGUGUGGGUUCUUAAAAGUUUUACUACGCAGUUAGGCAAUAAUCAAAAUUAACACAAAUGCAUUUAUCAAACAAACCCUGUUAACCAGGAGUAAAAGUGUCAAACAGUACAACAAUCAAGGCCAUUCUUUGUCAUGAUCAAGAGCACAGAGUCUAGAGUCAAACUGACAAAGGUUUGAGAUUGAUGAAAGAUUAUCAGGUGACUUUUUGGUUCUCCUACGUAGUCUGGAAAUCAGCAUUUGGAUCUUUAAACUUUAACAUGGGUAGGAUACCAAGCAUGCUUUAAAGUUAUUCUCUUUCCAUGCAGAAAGACAUAAUUUUUAAUAUAUCGUAACAUUAAUUCAUACCAUUAAUCUGACUUUUUUUCCCUCUGCAUAUUAAAUCAUAGAAGCUUCUUUUCACAACAACUUUUGUUGUUGUAAUGUUAUCCUAAUGUUGCUAAUCCACAGAACUCUUAUGACAUCCUUUGGCAUCGUCCCUCUCUUUCAUUUUAAUAAUAACUGUUGUAUAGAAUUUCUAUAAGGAAAGUUCUCAACUACCAUGAUCUUCUUAUAAUAAUCAUACUUUCUUCAUAGAGUCAUAGGAGACAUGUCUAGUUAAAGUACCUUACUGAGAAGGUGUGUAUUUAUGCAAAGCUUUUGAGGGGCUUUUAAAAAGUGAAGCUUUCGCAUGAUUUGUAUAAGAAAGUAAUUAGGAUAUCUAUCUAAAUGAUAAUAACUCAAUGAGUACAGAUUGGCAAUUCCACUUUGAAGAUUAUGGAAAGAUACAGAUUUUAUGUUUUAAAACAAUUUUUUAGGAAUAUCAAAGCAGAAAUGUUCUAGAUUUGGAUGAACAAUGAUAUAUUUUGUUUAAAAAGCACGAAAUUGCCCCAGAUUACCUCUUCCAUUAGCAAUGUAUAUAUCAAAAAUGGUGGAAAAUUAUUUUUUUACCACUUAUCUCUCCUUGCAAAAAUAAGGAUGCAUUAGGACUUUCUUCCCUGCCCUUUACUUUUGUAGUUCUACUAACUGUUCACACAAUUAUUAAAUAUGUAUAAGAUUAUAUUAUUAUGUUUUUAUUUAGUUGUUCAGUGAUGUGGUGUUACAUAAAAAGAACACUCGUUUGGGAUCAAGCUUAACUGUGUUUUAGUCUGAGCCUCAGUGACCUUAUUCAUACUCCUUAACCUCUGUGAACUUCUGCUCCCUACACUCCAAAUGGGACUAACUAUACUACCUUGCCUACUUUUAAGUUUGCCAUGAGGAUCAAAUGACAAAAUGCAUAUGAAAAUGACAAGCCAAUGUGUCAUUCUUGCAAUUACCAUCAUUGGUUAGAAAGAUACUGAGCAACAGUUAAACUUUUAAAUCCUGUUUUACUUGUGUUUAUUAUUGAUAGAGUUCUUUCUUCAUAGGUUAUAGCAGAGUUCUCAACAGCAGCGUUAUUGAUAUUUUGGGCCAGAUAAUUCUUGGCUGUGAGGUUAUCCUCUAUGUUGUAGGAUGUUUAGCAUUAUCUCUGGCCUCUACGCAACAGAAGCCAAUAGCACCCCCCCCACAAUAUCCCUUGGCGGAGGCAGAAUCACCAUUGAUUAAGAACUAGAUUACCAUACUGUCGAAAGUCUGAAUCAGUUGAUUCUAAACAGGCAAAAACAAAAACAACAACAACAACAACAACAAAAAGCUUUGGUUAAAGCAGGAAGCCAUUUAAAAAGUGAAUAUACUAAGCAUUUUACUGUAGUUGCAUCAUACAGAAUAUGUGGAAGUUCUUUUCCUGAAGUGGAAACCUUUUCUUUGAGUCAAGUCUUCUGACUGGAGUCUCACCUUCUUUUUUCCUAAAACAGUACUUUAAUGUGUCUUUUUACACUUCAUAUUUCAGAUUUUAACAGUUGAAUGAAAACAAAAAGGCAAGUAUGAAGUAAUCUCAUGGUAGAAGUCAUUCAGAUUUUGUAAUGUUUCUCAAUUUGUUGUAUGUAUCAUCCAUAUAUCGACUAAUAUUAAUGUUGUGGCAACUCGUGCUUUUUGAGUGUUUCCAGAAAUUUCAAUAUGAUUUUCAUUAAAAAUGCCAAUUUUUUUCACUCACAUUGUGUGACAUCAGGUUAAAAAGUUACUGACUUAAAUUUCUUAGAAAUAUUGACUAGAAGAAAAUAUAACAAUAUAAAAUUUAGAGGCGAGUAUGAAAUAUAUUUAAAACUCAUUAAUGAAUACUUUAGGUUCAUUUGCUUAUUUGUACAAAGGAAGCUCGGGUAAUUUCAGUACCUAUGGAAAGAUUUAUACAUUCUGUAAUUAGAUAUUUUUUAAUGCCUGCUGUGAUAAUUUUCGUAAAAAUCUGUCUUAAUGUAACAUUGUUAACACAUGGGUAAUAACAAGUACUUACUGACUUUGUCUUCCUUUUCCCCCAUUUUAUACACAAUUCGGUUAAUGACUAUAGAUUCAGACAACAGUGGUAUAUGUGGUAGCUCAUGCUGUGCACUAGUAUGCUCAGUUUAAUGAUAGAUUUUUUAAAAAGGAUAAUUGCAAAGUUUAUUUGUCCUGCACAACAUCACUGGGAAUACUUUGCAAAGUUUUCAGGGAAGCAGAGAAAACCGAACUAAAGAUAACGGCCUCAGACCCCAGAUAGAUUUUUACUGUCAUGGAUUUGUUAACAAAGUCAAAAUAAUGAGUAACUGACAAGGACUCUUUAAGGUCUACCCAGCUAAAAUGAGCAGUCAGUAUUUUACAUAUUUCACAUGAUAACUCAUCUAUCAUAUUUUACAUGAUAACUUAAGACCCUGUGGGUGCAGGUAUGCAUAUUCUCUUUUAUUACUUUAAUAAAUAUUAUAAAGCCACAACAUGAUUUAAUUUUAGCUCAUUACUAAACUGAGUAUUAGGAGAGCAUUUAGAAUAUAACUUCUUACAACUACAGAAUAUUUUUAAAUGUAUUAUCAGUAUGAAAUACUUAGUCAUCUAUUUAAAAAUAUAAGUUUAUUAAUGGAUUUACUCUGUCCCAGUUUAGGUCAGUUACCUUAAAAAUAUGUUCAUUUGUCUGUUUUUAUUAAUGCUACAUGCCAAACUAAUGACAUGUAAAGUCAUAGAGAAAAGAGAUUUAGCAUUUGAUUUAAUUUAUGUUUCAUUGCAAAAUGCACAGAUUCGAGUAAUCUCAGUUUCGUAAAUUCUUUCCACAUUAAAUACUGAACUAAUUCUGACUUUUUAACUAUACUUGUUAACGUUACUGCAUUAAGUUUUUGAAUCUGUUUGGAUGACUCCCAAAGAGAAGUUUAGUCUUUGAGAAAACCAGAUCUCCUUUGCUUCCAUGAAGAUCUUAGUAAUAUUUAGGCAAUAGAGAGUAAUGAAAAGAGCUUGAACAGUGAAUGUGUCUUUGUCUUCUAGCUAUCAUUCUCCCCAACGUAUUCUGUGUGCCUGAGAAACUUACUUCAUUUCUCAUGAGUCCUCAACAAAUUUUUCUUAUACAGCAUAUGCCAUCUUAAUUAUCUUAAGCAUGUAUGUGAUCACCGCCAGAGGUUCCUUUCUAAUCUUAGGCUGCAAUGGUCUUUGUCAUACAGGAAAAAUGUUUUUAAAAACCAUCAAAAUGUAUCCAUUUUCCUACAUUGGAAUCGAUAUAUGGCACUAUAGAGAUCUUGUGAUGGUAGAAGUCAUGUAUUUGAACAUGAGAAUAUUAAUGACAGCUUGUAACCACAGUCAUUCCUUAUCGUAUCCUAAGAAGUAAGUUUAGUUAUUAAACUGUUUUUGUUUGUUUGUUUGUUUUGCUAUGUCUUGAGUUUAUUUGAAGGGUUGAAGUAUUUGGAAUUGUGUCACGGCAUAGUUCACUGCAAAAUUAAAUUAAUUUAUAUGAAUGAGAUAUGGCAUCAGUAUGGUAAAUUCAUUUCAUUGUUCAAAAUACCUUUUGCGUGUAAGAUUUAGUUCUAUUAAUAAUUCAAGAAAAUUUAAAAAAUAAUUCAUUAUACAUAAAAAAAAAACUACUAAAAAUGCAAACAUCUUGGGAUAGACCAUGGGGUAAGAAAGAAAGGAGAAUGUGUGUUUUAUACUUAAUUAUAUGCUCUUAUCUAAUAAAAUAAAUAUAUGCUUUUAGCUAAUAAAAGAGGUAUAGUGAUAUUAUUCCCAUUUUUCAGUUAACGAAAUGGAGACAUAGAGUAAUUAUGAAACAUGACACAGCUGACAAGUGACAGAGCCAUGAUUCAACUCAGUGUAGCUCAGAAAUCCCCUCAUUACUGUGUUACACUGACUCUCAACUAAAACUAGUUCAGGGAAUAGGCUUAUAGGGUGUUUAAAGUAGUCAGUUUUUGAACAUAGGGCCAUGUCUUUGUUAUUCUUUCUGUCUAAAGUGAAUAUUGUUCUUAGAAAUCAAAGAAGAGAAUAUCUUAGAGAAGGGAGUAGAUUCUCUCAGUCAUUGGGAGAAUAGACUCAAAUAUGCCUUGCAAUAGGUGUUGUUAGAUAAAAUGUCUCAGGUUGUGUAUCACACUUGACCUACUAUGAUGCAAUGACAUUCUUUAACUUAGACAUCGUGUGAAUACUCCUUGUGUUCACUAAGAGGACGUAUAGGCUUUUGUUACCUAGGUCAUAACAGAGAAGCCUUUGUGUACCCUAAUCUGACUCUGUAGCUACAAUUACAUAUCAUUUUUAUUUCUUUCACCCAGCUCUUUGUACAUACAACUUAAAUAUAUAUAUAUAUAUAUAUAUAUAUAUAUAUAUAUAUAUAUAUAUAUACACAUAUAUAUAUAUAAUAUAUAUAUCUUAUUAUUAUAUAUAUAUUAUAUAUAUAUAUGUAUAUAUAUAAUAUACAUAUAUCUCACAGGACACUGUCAUCAGAAGUCACCAAUAAUACAGGAGUGUGCCAUUGAGAGGAUUAGGAGACUCCAAUUUCUGAUAUGAAAGGUGAACUAUAAGAAAACCAGAAAUGGUUUUCUGGCCCAAGAGUUCACAAACCUUUUCUAUAGUAAAUGCUUUAGUUUUUGAGUCACAUGGUAUCUCUGAACUCAACUGCGACAUUGUAGCAUGAAUGUAGCCAUACAUAACAAGUAAAUGAAUGGGUGUUACUGGUAUUCAAUAAAACUUUUCUUACAAUAUAGACAUUGGCUGUAUAUGAUCUAGCAACCAUAAUUUACCAACCUUUGCUCUGUUAAGUAAAAGCCUUUAGAAUGGAUAGAAAUAAGAUGGACGUAGCUCACACAACAAAGCACUUCUUGUCUAUUUAUUUUCUUCACAAGAAGUCUAAGGUAUGAGCACCUAAUUGCAAACUACACCAAGUUCACAAAGGAGAUCAUAAUGUAAAUAAUGGAAGAACAAAAUAUGGUACUUAAAAAUGGUUACCAAAAAUAGAAGUUUGUGGGAAUAUGGUGCAACAAGAAAACACCAAUCAUUCUCCCGUAUGCUGCAGUUUGGGAUUUUGUUGACAUUGGCAUUUCAUCUUUAUUACAUGGAUUUAAGACAACUGAAUUCAUGUUAGUUACAUGAUAUUUACAAAAGUUUAAUUUAAUUUCUGUUCAAAUACUUAAUAUUAUGAGUUCCUGCCUACAUUUCAAAUAUUCCCAAAAGUAUGGAAGUAAGAUAACAGGCAAACUGAAACAAUCUUUUUUGAAAAUAUUUUUGUAGCAGGUUUCUGUAAGAAAGUGUGAGUACAAGUGUUUACAUUUUAUGUUGUUAGAUUCACCACUAGAUUAUGACUAUCUUAAGAACAGGUCCCAUGCCUUAUUCAUUUUUUUUUUUGUCAUUGUCAUUCCCCAUAAUAAUACUUGGGACAAAAUAGUUAAAAGUUUUUGGAGAUGAAAUAGUAAGUAUAGUUCUCCUGUAUAUGGAUAUGUUUUUUCUGCAAUAGUAAACCGAUCCCAUUAAGACAUACAGUUAAGACAUAUUUUUGUAGGCAAGUAUACAGUAGUCUUACUUGACUAUGUAUUUAUGGAAUUCAAUAUUUGCACACACAAACUUUGAUGGAAUAAGUUUUCACAAAAAUCUAGGGGUAUAAUAGAUAAUGCCAAAUAAAUAAAUGUUCAUAUAUAUAGUAGUUAGUUGGUGGUGGAGACAGAUAAAAUAUAUAGUAUUUUCUGGCCAAAAAUAUGUGAUUCAUUGAACUUUUUCACUCAUGAACAUGACUAUUUUAGCUCAAAAGAAAAAAAACAACAUAAUUUUCUAUUUUUCACAUUCAUUUUAGAGGGAAGAAUGAUAUAGUUAUUUCUAGAAAUAGUUGUCUUAAGAACAAUGAAUUUCUUCUCUUUAUAAUAGGGUCCAUUUUAGAUUAUGUUCAUUUAUGUCAAAUUCAUGAAGAGACAGGCGAAGCUUUGAAUUUAGUGUCUGCAGAUUUUCAUUUUCAUUUUCAAAACAAACUAUUUCCUAAGGAAUGCAGAUUUUUUUUAAGGGCAACUAAAAUCUAAAAAAAAUGUUCUCCUUUUUUGUCCUCUUAUUGCUUAAAAAAGUACGUGAACAUACUGUUUUUAAAUUUAGGCUUUUAAAAAAUUGUCCUCAUGCUGAGUUCUUGUUUGCCAAGUUUCAGCUUGGAGAGAAUCUUUAUAGCUUUUAUAAAACCCUGAAAAUAGAAAAUUUUAAAUGGAAAUCCUUACACACCCUUAGUGACGGCCACAAAUCUUGCCACUUUUUGAGAAUGAAGGUAAUUUUUUAGUAUUUAAGGAUGGUAGCAACAAGUUGAUGUGAUAGUUUCUAAAGGGCAGAGCUUUUGUUUAGUUGUGUGUUAGAUAUGUUACACUGGUUUAUCAUAUUAAGAUUUAGCUGUAUGUUCAUACAUUUUGUAUGUGCUAUAACAAUUUUAAAUUUUAGAGUGCAUUUGUCCUCCACCAAAUAUAGUUUAUAUGUAGAAGCAUGUUUUAUCCAUCUUUUUGACAUGUCACCUAUUAUUUAACUUGACUAAUGAUUUAACUGGCAAGUGAUUCACCUUGGAAGUUAGAUUUGCUGAAGUUGAAUAAGCUGUUGUCCUCUCAUUUUUAUCAAGGGUCAGUUGCCCUUUGGGAAACCCAGAAUAUGUCAGAUCUUUGACAACUGUAAAGGGCAAACAGACAAACAAAAGUCUGUAAGACUAAUAGUCCUUGAGACAAGCACAUGAAUGAGUGAUGAAAUAUUGCUUUACUACAUCCUGAAAAUUCUUCACAUUUAUUUCUUCAGUUGAAUGAAGCUUUCUAACAUCUGUGUCUGGAAGUAAUUCUGAUAACCUUGACAUUCAAAAUGGAGAUAAAGGAUAGAUAGCUUCCCACAAAAUGCUUCAGUAUGGCAAGAGGAAUUAUCUAAUAUUGAUAAAUAAAGCAACGUGACAUCUGUGUUGAAUUCCAAAUUGACUUGUUGAGCUGUGUAAAAAGGUAAAAGAAGGUGCUUGUUUUAAAGAUGUGAAAUACAUUGGGAAAAGCCAAGGUCAAAGAUGAAGCAUAACUCAAUGCCAAAGAGUUUCAAUCUUAAUGAAAAUCUCUUUCAAUAAGAAAUUGACAAUUGAGAAACAGUGUCAUUGUUAGAAGUUCAACAUUCUUUUGGGGAUCUAAUAGACAAAUCCCCAGAGAGCUGACUUGUAUUAAUAGAUAGCUUAAAAUUUAUAGUUUAGGAAGAACAGACUAAUAGUUUUUGGAGUAAAGCCUGAAUUAUAGAGGGAUGACCUGAGCCCUGGCGUGAGUGAUCAAUCAGUUGAGUGUCUGCAACUGCACAAUUUUAAGAACUCUUAAAAGGUUCUUUGACCACUGAAAAUGCAUUAUAAAGAAUAAGUCCAUGACCAGCCAAGUCUGGAAUAUAUGUUUGUAUUGCUAUACAGAUCCACUGUUUAUUUAAAAAGUAAAGUAAAAGGUAUGACACAGGUUGCUUUGCUGCCAUGGAUGAUUGAAUUGAACUUUGAAGGAUAAGUGGGAUGUCCUGGGUAAAAUGUGGAUGCUGGAGGAGGAUACACAGAGGCUAAUUUGAAUCCAUGAGAUUUUUCCAUUAAGGAAAUAGAGUUGGAAUUAAAGACGUAAAAAUCUUGAAUACCAAGCUAAGAAUUUGAAUUUAACUUGUUAUUCAGGGUGCAGCCAUUGACGUUUUCAAAUGAGAAAAAUGCUUCAUGCAGAUUAGUUAUACUGCAAUAUUGGCAGGAAAGGUAGAGAUCAGUGGGAAAAGACCUCUGGAAACCUGUUGAACAGUGAGUACUUCCAGGGUAAAGCUACAGCAGGCAGGACAGCAGAGUGGUGGCCUAGGCACUGUAUAUAAAAGCAAAGAUGAGACACAGAUGGAAGGAAAAUUCCUAGGGUCCCGUGAGACACUGGAUAUUGAGUGAGAGAUAAUUCAAAGAAUGAAGAGUCACUGAUGUCUCGAGCUCAACUUACUAGGACAUCAACGGGUUCCUUAUUUGUUUUCUGUAACUCUCAAAGUGGAUCAACUUCUUUCAAACUUCUCUAGUGGAAAUUCUGUUUUGGUUACUUUUCGUCUCUGAAAAUGAUAAGAACAGUAAUUAGCCAUGAAGGAACCACUUACUGCAUUGCAGAUGAUUAGACAAUUGACAAUACCAACAAAAAUUGAAUUGGAUUCUUUAGGUUUAAUAUUUAGCCUAAACUAGCAUAUUUCACCUGCUCUGUGCCACGCUCACUGCUGAUUCCUGAGAUAUUCACUGAACCCUUCCCCACACUUGGCAGUGAGUUCCUUGAUGACAGGUAUUUAUUUUUUAUCUGUCUCCAUAACCUCAGCUCUUAAUUCCAUUCGUAGCACUUAACAGAUGUUCUAUAUAUGAUAAUUAAACGAUAGAAGCCUAGUGUGAUUUUCCAGCUUUGCCUGGAAUAGGUCCUGCUCCAAUAGGAACUCCUCUACCUCUUUAAAGAGAUAAAAUAAGGAGUUCGGCUUCAGGGAAAACACCUUGUAGAUUCCAUUUAUCAUUACUUUUCUAGGUUGUUGUCAUACAGUGAAAAAAAAAAAAAAAGCUGACACAUUUCUUUCCAGCCUUACACAGUAACACAGUAUAAGGAGCCAUAGAGAGGAAUUUUAAGGUAGGAGGGGAGUAUUUGAUUGUUCAAUAUUUUUGUUUAAUUCAGGAGAAGGAAAGCCCCAAAUGCUACCUAAACAUAAACUCACAAUUCAAAACAUUUUAGAAAUUAUCUGGCAACUUUACAUAGAGUCCAAGUAUUUCCAGGUUAUGCUGAAAGAUGCCUCGAAGUUUAAGUACCCCCAGGGAAAGCAUAUCAAAGGUUAGAGACCAUUUAGACUCACUUCCAAAAGGAUCUGGCCUCAGAGUUUUGCAGUAGUGAGCAAAAAUUCUAGAAAGGUCUAGGUUCAGAAACCAUAGCAAAGUUGCAAGAAAAAGGUUUCCUAGCUUCUGUUUCUUAUGCCAUUCAAUAAGAUUUAGAAGGAAAUGCAGCCAAAUUUAAUGGUCGUUACCUGAUGAAAAACAGACAUCCUUUGGAUUAUCCUCAAGCAGAACUGAACAGAACUAAAUGCAA